RNAcentral lists this ribosomal RNA (421 nucleotides) under uncultured bacterium. Its description in RNAcentral is "bacterial SSU rRNA". It matches the Rfam family "Bacterial small subunit ribosomal RNA", at positions 356 to 774 of the family's 1533-position model. The record is from RNAcentral.
GAGGAAUAUUGGUCAAUGGGCGGGAGCCUGAACCAGCCAAGUCGCGUGAAGGAAGAAGGAUCUAUGGUUCGUAAACUUCUUUUGCAGGGGAAUAAAGUGCAGGACGUGUCCUGUUUUGUAUGUACCCUGAGAAUAAGGAUCGGCUAACUCCGUGCCAGCAGCCGCGGUAAUACGGAGGAUCCGAGCGUUAUCCGGAUUUAUUGGGUUUAAAGGGUGCGUAGGUGGUUUGAUAAGUCAGCGGUGAAAGUUUGCAGCUUAACUGUAAAAAUGCCGUUGAAACUGUCGGACUUGAGUGCAAAUGAGGUAGGCGGAAUGCGUGGUGUAGCGGUGAAAUGCAUAGAUAUCACGCAGAACUCCGAUUGCGAAGGCAGCUUACUAAGCUACAACUGACACUGAAGCACGAAAGCGUGGGGAUCAAACA